This 3582-nucleotide long non-coding RNA is filed under the name Homo sapiens (human). RNAcentral's name for it is "HSALNT0337551". Lineage: Eukaryota; Metazoa; Chordata; Mammalia; Primates; Hominidae. The record is from RNAcentral.
CUGCCUCAGCCUCUCAAAGUGCUGGGAUUACAGGCAUGAGCCACGGUGCCUGGGCUGACAAAUAUUUAUUAUUGAGUUUGUGGAACCCAGAAUGAUCUAGGGCCUCAGUGGCCACUGAACCCUGGGGCACACUUGAACAAAAAUAUGGGCUUCUCAGCCACUAUGCCUUGACAUCCUCUCUAAUCAGAAGUUUGUGUAAUAAGUGCAAAAGACAAUAUUCACAGUGACAAUGAUACUGUGAACUGCCAUAGGGAGAGUAGACAUGACUGUGGUGACAAUGCAGCGGCAGCAGGACCCUGUCCUCUCAUAAGUGGGCAUCCUUUCCCCAUGUGAACACCACAUAGCAGAAACGCCCAUCUUCCAAAGCCCUUUUAUCAUGUUAUGAAUUAUUUACACUUCCAUAUAUUUCAGUUAAAGAGUGGUAAUCAGAUCUGUAUGGAUGCCACUUGGGUCAUUUGUCAUUUCACUUGAAGGCAAAGAAAUGUUUUUAACUGGUAAGUACAACCUUAUCAUAAAAGUCUAUUUUCUGUAAGAAAUACUGAAAAUAUAUUAAAGACCUCCCUUAGUGCCCUUCAGGACACAUAAGAAUCCUAAUAUACCAGGUUGGGAACCAUUGCUAUAGGAUUUGAAAGGAAUAGUAAAUAGUAUUAUCUGAAAGUGAAGAGGAAGAAGAGAUUCUACUUAAAAAUAUUUGUUAAAUGACUGAAAGAAAUAAAUCUAUGAAGUCGUUUAGAACAUGGUCCUUUAGGGAAAGACCUGCCUGCUGUAGAUUCCAUUCACAUUUUAUACGUUUGUAAUGCCUUACAAAGCUAGUCUUUGCACUUAAAGCUACUGCUAACUGAGCAAUAGAAUCACACCUCAUAAGGCUUAAACUGUGUAUUUAAAGGUUUUGAUAGGGGAUCCAGAAAUCUGAGUGAAACCCUGGGUUCUGCAGGUACACAUGGCUCAUGUAUAAGGCAUUUGAAGGGCUUGUGGCCUUGAUGGGGAACACUGUCAACUCUGAUCCUGUUUGUCUGAGGUUACUUGGGGUACAAGAUGAAGACAGAAGGGCGUGCCUCCCUUCUGGAACCAUCACGGCCAGCAGCCGCAUGUUGGGCAGCUGCUGAUACUCAGGGUGCCCAGGCGGGAGAUGGUGAGAGGCCAGCCCUAGCCAAAUUCCUUGCUGCUGCCAGAGGAAGCAGUCUUGCCAUGUGUGUCCACAGGGAUAAGAUUAGCUGCCGAGGUGGAGCUGAUAUCUGAGCGAGGCUCUCGAGGACACAUUCUGGAUAGAUCUCCAUAUGGGAGUUGGAUGACUGCCACCAGCCAGUCUUGGCAGUCCCCAGAAUUCUUCUGAAGUGGACAGUGGAAGAAGUGAAACAUUUGCCUGGCAGCUGGCAUCAAUGCAGUCUCUCUCUGGACAUGCAGAAGAAAAGGUUCAAAAGGAACUGAACCCAAACCAGUCUUUAUUUGAUUUUAGAUGGAAUUAAAACAUUUUUGUGGGUCUCGACAAGUAUUGCCAGCACUGCACCUGCCACCCUGAUAGCAAACUCCAGUGGAAGUAACAGCAGAUCUUGCAAAUAGAGAAACAUCUGCCUCAGUUCUGAAGCAAGCAAGUGACCAUCCUCAUGCCACAAAAUAGAAGAACUUCUGCUAGAUCCAGAACUGUCACCCCUGGGUCGCAUGGAGGCCUUGAGGGUUGGGAUUCAAUCCUCAUUCCUGAGAAGGAGCUCUAGAACCCCAUUGUGAAUGUGGACAUUGUUAUGGAUGCAAAUGUCCACCUGUGCAGAGAAUUAGGCAAGACAGAGAGAGGUGUUUUUCUGGGAAGACUGUCUGAGCGAGCAACCACAAAGUUUCUGGUCAUGGUUCCUGCCCUGCCUCCCUCUCUACUUUGGAGCUCCUGUAACUCCAAGUGGAUAAUAUACGGUUUUGUUUUUGUCAUUGUUAUUGUUGAUGUUGCUUGUCUUUACUUUGUAAAAUAUGAACCUUUCAUCAUAUGAGUGAUUUUGGCAAAAUGCACCUCAGACAUUCAAAUACUUCCUAUUUAUUAAGCGCCUCCCACUGUGCAAUCCAUAUGCUAGGCACUGCAGAUGAUGUCUUAGUCUUUAUAACAACCUUGCAGGUUGGAUAGCAUUGUUCCCUUUUCAGAAAUGUGGGAACAUGCCCAAGGUUCAGGGUAUUCUAAGUGGGAGAAUUCAGAUCCAGCUCACUCAGAGGUCUCUGCUGGCCCAGGUCUGUCCAUUGUCUUCUAGUGUAAAUGAAGGCAGCUGCUCUGAAGGCAGGAGGACCAGGCUUAAUCUGAAACCUGUGAUCAUUGAAACAAGCAUGGCCUGCUCUGCACAGGGUUCAAAUGAAUAGGUCUCUAUUUUCUCCUUUCUACAUAAUCACUCAAAUAAGAUAGGGACUAGAGUCAGGCAAGUGAGACUCUCAUCCCAGGAAGAAAAUAGAAGGGAGCACAAAAAAACUCAGUAAUCAAGAUAAAUAAUAACUUUAAUACAAUACAGUGUUUUAAAAAAUCAAGUCCUCAAACUAUAGCUGUCUGCCUAGCUAUUUUUAAACAUAAAGCUUUACCAAGGCUGGGAUGAGGCUUGAGCAAAUGAGGCCAGUUGUACAAGUUCAGUGUCAGAUCCUAUUUAAAGUUUUGAUAUUUUGUUCAUCAUGUUUAUUUUUUUCAUUAAUUCUAUCUGAAGCACCCACCCACCUUCUCAGCAGAUAUCUCCCUCUGGGGCUACCCUUUCCACAUGAGUUAUAGGGACCUGUGAUGUGCAAAAGGAAGUUACACAACUUCUCUUCAUGAUUUCUGUCUUUUGGGCACAAAAUUCUGACUUUUGAAGAAUACAGUUGCAUAAUCACCACCACAAUCAAGAUAUACAACAGUUCCAUUAUCCUAAAUAGUCAUCCCAUCCUCCACUCCCAAUAACUGGCAACUACCGGUCUGUUUUUCUGUCCCUAUAGUUUUGCCUUUUCCAGAAUGUCAUUUACAUGGAACAAUAUAGUAUGAAGCCUCUUGAGCCUGGCUCCUUUCAUUUAGUAUAAGUAUCUGAGAGUCUUCCAUGUUGUGUGUAGCAGUAGUUCCUAUCUUUGUAUUGCUGGCUAGUAUUCCAUUGUUGGAUGUACUUAUUUGGGUUGUUUUCAGCUUGGGGAGGCUAUGAAUAAACCACUGUAAACACUUGCUUUCAGAGUUUUACAUGCAUAUAAGUUUUCAUUUACUUUGGGUAAAUACCUAUGAGUGGGUUUAUUGGAUCAUUUGAUAUGUCUACUUUUCACUUUCUAAGAAACUGCCAGACUAGUUUCCAAAGGGGCCCUUUUGCAUUCCCACCAGCAAUUGACUUUAGUUUUUGAGGGUGGGACUAAGGAGGACCCAAUCCCCAGGUGUGUUGACAUCCCUACCUCCCAACUGUGAAUGGGGUCAAGACCUCUGGCAUCUUAGUGACGGGCACCUUAGCACUCCCCAGCAAUCUCUGAGGAGUGAGGACAUGGAAGGAGGGAUUUCUGGGUUGUCUUGGAGAUCUACUCAAAGGACGUUGUGAAACCUAGGUGUUCAACAACAAAUAAAUAGAUAAAGAAAAUGCGGUGUAUAUAUACCAUGGAAUACUAUUCAGCCAU